CAGUAAUACUAAUCAUAGCUGCUAGCAUUGAUUAUGUGCCUGUUGUAUGCCAAGCCCAGUGCCAACUGCUUUCCAUACAACAUUACCUCAUGACCCGGUAGAGCGUGUACCAUCAUUGUUCCCAUUUAGAGAGGAGGAGGCCGACGCCCAGUGAGGCGGAGUGUCUAUGUGAGCAGAAGAGGAGGAGGUCAGAACUGGCAGAAGGUGGUUUGCAGGAGCUCUGAGGAGCAUCGCAGUGCUAGGUCCAGUUGGAGGCGUCCACAAAGGGCUCUGAUGCUUCGGGUUUGGGAGGCGUAGUUAGGGACAUCAUCAGGCAGAGGCAAGGCAGCGGCAGGGCCAGGACCCCAGCGACUUGACUGCCCAGAACCCUGGACAUGCUGGCUUCUGGCUCAGUUGUCAGCAGGACCCAGGUCUGCAACCUCCUUGCCAAUCACGGGCCUUGAACCCAGGACCAGGUACUGGGGCACCUCAGAAGGCCUUCACUGGGACCCGCCAUCCAACCGGUCACCAAAUCACAGGGACAGGGAUUUUGAAAGUUCCCUUUCAGAAUUUUAGGCCACCUAGAUCUUUUAUUUCUCCCUUCCCUUCCCUCUUCCCCUUGUCUGUGUGUGUGAAUAUACAGUGCACAAGCAUGUGUGUGCGCAUGUGUGUGUGUGUGGUAUGGGUGGGUGCAUAAACUGGACAGGGCCCAGCCAUUACCUGACAGAGCUGUCUCUCUGGCUCAGUUUCCCCAACAGCAAAGAGGUGUGUAAUCCCAGCUCCUUGCCUGUCUCCUCCAGGCUUGAUGAGGUCACCAGAAAUUCAACCCAGUUAUUCCGGGCUGCCCUCAGCCUCUCCCUUCCCCACCCUCCCCUCUUCCCAACUUUCAGUUUCUUUUCAGAUCCUCGGUGCCUUUGGGGAAGAGGUGGCCAAACCGAUGGAACAUGGAUUGCUUGCAACUUUCCAACCAAAAUCCCCCACUUAGGGGAAGUCCCUUUAAAAGGGAAACUGCAAGCCUCUCCUACUCCAGUGCCCAGUCCCACUCCUUCCUCUCCAUGCUGCUCAGGCCUGGCCCCAUCGCCUCUCCCAUUCGCUUCUUCCUCAGAUGAUCUGGACUCAAACUACGGCUGCCUUCCAGCUUCGUGACCUUGGACAAAUCCCUUCCCCUCGCUGAGCCUCAUAAUGGCCAUUCUGUAAAACGAGGACCCUGAGCGGCACUUCAGGUUGUGGCAAGGGUUCAGAGAGCCCACUGAACUUCAACUCUACUGGCUUUUCAGUUCCUCAGUGCUGAGCUUCUUCUACCUCAGGACCUUUGAGCAUGCUGUUCCCUCCACCUAGAAUGCCUCUCUACACUUCUCUACUUGCUGAAUUUCUAGUCUUCUUUUAAAACCCAGAUCAAACCACUCCUGAGGACUUUCCAGAUUCCCCAGGAGGAAAGGAUGGCUCUCCUCACCACACGCUCCAUACCUCUGGGCUUAGGGUUCCCACAACUCAGGCCACCCACCUCAGCUCAUCAUCUCCUCAUCUCCACCUCCAAGACCAUUGCCCUUCUCACCUGGGCCAGGGCCUGUGCCAUUUCAUCAGCCUUCUCACUUGUCUCUCUGUCACCAGUCCAUCCCCUCCAGCUGUUCUCCACUGUCUCAGGGUUAUUUUCCAAUAGAGGGUGCUCAGUAAAUAUCUGUUGACUGAUGGAGUAAAUGAGGGAAGGGAUGAAUGAAGGAGUGAAAGAAAUGUAAAAUGAAACAUCCCCCCUCGGCUUUACACCUUUCUGUGGCUCCCUACUGCCCUCAGGACAAAGCCUGCACCUCCUAUUUAAGGUCUUCACUCUGUAAUCCCCAUAGCACACUCUGGGCUUUCCGGCAAGCCAGAACCUCGCUCUCCUUUCUGCCUUCAUGCAGGAGUCCCUCUGCCCGGACUGUCCUUCUUCCUGCUAUGCAUCAGGGAAACAUGGGUGCGUUGCAGGCAAGAGAUGCUGGGGGCCAGAGCUAAGGAUGGAGGGGAGAGUCAGCCAACAGCAACAUUUCUUGAGCUAGGGUCUGUUUUCAGUGCUGGAGAUCUCGAGUGUAGCCUUAGAGUUUAGGUUUGAAAUGCCUACAAGAGUCCCCCUGGAGACAUCAGGCUGGCAAUCAAUGGAUCUAGGAGCCUGGACUUCAGAGGACAGUGGAUGGGUGUCCCAAAUUUGAAGCCACAGGACUGGGUGCAAUCCACUAGAGAGAAGGAAUAUCUCAAGAAGAUAGUGCUGGGGGCUCCCCAACAUUUAGACUCUGGAAGGGGAGCUAGCAGGGAUUCAGCUGAUGGCCGGUGGGAAAGGAAGAGAUCCAGGUGCAGGGGUGUCUGCAAGCCAGAGGGAAGAAAUGGUUUCCAGAAGGAAUGAGUCACCCACCAUGUCAAAUGCUGUGGAAGGGUGGAGGAAGACAGAGGGAGAGAGGUAUGGGAGGUGUUCGGGAGGCAGAACGGACAGGACUUAGGAAAAGACUACAGAUGUUGGGAGGAAUAAGGACUGUGGAUGGUGCCCAAGGAUCUGCCUUGGGCAAAUGGCUGGAAGGAGGUGCCAAAGUGUACGCAGGAAGCCUAGAGGAAGAGCAGCAGGGGACGUGUGGAAACAGAGAGGUCAGUUUUGGAUGAGUUGGGAUGAGGUGACUUUGGGAUGUCAUCAGGAUCACAUGAUGUCAUUAGGACCACAGGAUGUCUAUGGGUCAGCCCAGAUCUCUCCAGAUCUCCAGCUGCCCUUGGAGAUCACCCAGACAUACAUCCUACAGAGACCUACAAGACACAGAAAAACAGGCCCAGGUGGACACAGAUUAGAGGGGACAGAGUUGGAAGCAAGAAAACCAGGGAAGAAUUGAUCAGACUGGCCCGGUGAAAGCAAUGGUGGCUUGAACUAGGCCAGGUCAGAGGACAGAGAAGGAGAAGAUGAAGUCCAGAG
Long non-coding RNA from Equus caballus (horse), 2905 nucleotides. NCBI's taxonomy places the organism in Eukaryota, Metazoa, Chordata, Mammalia, Perissodactyla, Equidae. The record is from Ensembl.